Long non-coding RNA from Daucus carota subsp. sativus, 1851 nucleotides. RefSeq lists it as uncharacterized. The transcript has 2 exons. Lineage: Eukaryota; Viridiplantae; Streptophyta; Magnoliopsida; Apiales; Apiaceae. The record is from RefSeq and is a predicted model, not a curated record.
AAUGGGUGUUACUAGUUGGCUUAAUUGAUUUCGAGCUUGGAUUUAGAGUUAAGUAGUUAAAUUGAAAGUGGUGGUGUAUAUGUUUAUAUAUGCAGAGUAAGUGGUACUUUGUUUUGAUAUAAUUAUGUGUAUUUAUGUGGUUCAAGUUAUUUUGAUAUCUAAGCUAUUGAUCUUAUAAUGAUAUACAUAUACGUGCUUAAUUGAUAUUUGAAUUGGUUGUGGUCUGGUGAUUGUACUUGGUACGUUUAAUUAGUACUAUAAUUAGAUGAGUUGGGUACUAAAUCUUUGGGUUGAGUUAUGUACUUGUGUUUGGUCGGGUAUUUCAAUAGUUUAAGUAGUGGAUUAAAGAUUUAGAAAUUAUUCAUACUUGAGUUGAAAGUUUUGGCUAUCGCUGGUCUGUUUUGCAGCAUAAUUCUGGGUUAAUUGAGUUGAGUUAUGUGCUUAAUCUUUCUUUAAUAAUUUGCUACUUGAAGUCUAGAUCAAGCACCAAAAGGAAUUUCAAAGUUUCAUUCAACGAGCUAAAAGAUAUGCAUGUUUUACUGCGAAAUGCGCUGAAAAUUCUGGGCAGGUGUGUCCUAUUCCAGGCCCUGUUUUGCUACUUUAAACUCGAGCUCUGCUUCUCAAAUUUUUACUGGAGUUAGAUGUUAGUUUCUGGAAUAUGUCAUUAAAAUUUUAUACAAACAGACCAAUUUUUUUAUUUAUUAAAAUUCUUAGCGUGGGGCUGGUUCUGCAGGGCAGAUUCAGGUUCCUGACUUGCAGGCCCUGUUUUACUCCCUUAAACAUGGAAUUUGCUUCUGAAAAUUUUAUAGUAGAUUGUAAUAAUGCUUAAGAGUGUCUCAUAAAAAUUUUGUAUUAAAGCGAUAAAUUUUCAAUUUGUUAAAAAUCAUAGAGUGAGGGCUGUUUGAACUAUUUGUUCUAGUUUUCUUUCUUUGAUUAGUGCAUAGGAGGAGUUUAUACUUGGUUGGUCAGUGUCAAUCAUGUCUAAUAGUGAUAUAUGAUUUCAAAUCUAGCUACGUAAGUGUGCAUACUGUGAUAUUGUGUUUUAAUUGAUAUUGGUCCUGUACUUAUUGGUUUAUUGAGUUGGAUUGAGUUGCUUACUUGUUGAAUAAUAUAAGAAAACAUGUGGAUAGUCCGAUAAAUAGAGGAAGUGCUGUCUCAUUUUCGUUAGAAACUAUAUAUGUUUUAUUUGUUAAAGGAUAUUAAAUAAGAUAAGAAUAAGGUGACAUGGUUAACUGAAACAUGUUAUAUGAUAACUUAUCAAUAUUGACUUUUAAUAGCUAUAAAAGUUAAUUGUUCAACUAUGUGCUAUGUGUUUGUCUGACUAUGUGGUAUAUAUAUGCGAAGGGUAGAUAUAUGAUAGGUAUUAAUGCUUUUCGAGCUUAGUUAAUCUGUCUGAUCCGACGACUGAAAUACUAUUUUGCCAUCGUAUAGAAUUGAACGAGACGUUGAUCGAGGCAUUGAUCGAGAAGUAAUUGAAAUGGGUAUUCAAAAAUAGCUAAGUUGUGUUGCAAGUUGAAGUUGGGCAGAGAUUGUUAUAGAUAGAAUCUUGUCAGAAGCUGGCAGAAAGGAAUGAUAUGGCACUACAUAGUGUUAUUAGAAAUCUGAGCUAGACACCGGAGUUAAGAUAAUGUUAAAGAUGGUUCGCCUAUUUAGGCUAAGCAUAAGAGUAAGGCUAGGCGAGGAUUGCAAGUGACUAACUUUCAACCUGAUGGUCAGGAAGAGUAUCCAAGAUCGAGUCUUUGGGACUAGUGGUAAUUAGAGUUGUCUAAAUUUGAUUUAGUUGUAAAAACAUGUAAUAGAAUUUAUUAGUUUUAUUUUUCUGAUUUCAAUACUAUAGCCUGUUUGCGAUCC